Molecule: non-coding RNA, 10772 nt
Organism: Oryctolagus cuniculus (rabbit)
Lineage: Eukaryota; Metazoa; Chordata; Mammalia; Lagomorpha; Leporidae
Source: RefSeq, a predicted model, not a curated record
CCCUGUGUGCCGCAGGUGACGGCUAGGAGGAGCAGCUGGCCUGGGGCGUUGGGAGCUCCUAGGCGCCUCUCCUUUUCCCUCGAGGGCGCACGCGGCGCCGCCCGGCAACUCUUGGUUUCCACCUCCGCUUCCAGGGCCCUGUGUUUUCCAGCUGGGUUCUGGAAAGUGCAAAGGGGCUUUCCUUCGGUCCUGGCAGGGAGUCGCCGCCUUGGGAUGCCCAUCUGCUUCUGGGAAGCCUAAGCCCCCUUUCAGCCGCUCUUUGUGAACCAGAAUAUAUUUCCUGUACCUUUGCACUGCGUUAACAAGGCACUCAGGAUGGUUACCCUCUGCAGCGCCCUGAGAGCCUGCGGGUGUGCGUGUGUGUGUCUAGAUGGGCUGCUGAAGCCGGAAGAUCCCUCCUCGGAAGCGGUCCACCGAGACCCAGUUCCGCCAGUGUGGUUUUAGGCCUCAAAAUGGUGACUUGAGAGCAAAGGAUACCUCGGGAUCCUCUGUUACACUCCAGAAGUCCAAACCGGUAGAAAUAUGCUAACUGCCCUCUGAGUAUUUAUUUAUCUCUAAUUUUGUUUCAAAUUUUUCUUGGGAAAGGUCAGAGAAAACCUAGAUAAAAAGAUUCUUGUUGUGAUGGCGUGUGUUUUCAUAAUAGGAUUGGUUUUACCUGUUACUAAUAUUCUCCACCUGCUUGUCCCAGCUGAGUGGCUGUUUCAGGUGAGGCCUUUAUGGGUGGACUUCCUUAGUCAUCACUACAGCCUGUGCUGACACUGUUGAAAACGUCUUUUGUGACAUCACCGACCCAGCCUGUGUUCCAUGUGAUACCUGCUAGCAAAAUAUUUUGCCUUCUCUGCAUCCUGCAAUCAAGCAACCUUAAAGGGAAAGUCCGUUUUAGUGUAGGUCGGUGUGGGUGUUAAUGGCCUCCAUCAGGGGAUGAGAAGUAGCCAGAAGCCGAGCAUGAGGAUGGAUUUUAAUACAACGCUGCUUCUCUUAUGUGGGAAGUCUUUGAUUUGCUUCUUUUUUGAAAAACUGUUUUAAUUUUUCCUGUAUCUCACUUGAUUAUGUUACAGGAUUGAGGCUUUGAGAAUAAGAGAACGGGCAGCCAGGACCUGUUCCAGGCAUGAUGGCUUUGUAGACAGAACCAAAGGUGAUGAGCAGUACCUGCGUGCUGUUUCAGCUGUGCCUGGGCAGAAGCUCUCCUCUCUCCCUGUGCCCUCAAGCGGGUUGGCAGCCCUCUCCUGUGCUCUGGCAUUUUCCCUAGAAUCCCUCUCCGUGCCAGAUGUGAAAAACUAACUCAGUCAUUGUUAGUGUGAUCAGGGAGUGGAUAGAAUUCAUACAAGUUAAGCUCAGACAAGGCACAGAAUCCUGGAGGAGGACAAAGGUACAACAGAGGUCUCCAUAAAUAGUUGCAUAAAAUGUUAAAGCCACAACAUUAUCACUAAGUUUUAAAAGAAAGUCACAUAUUACAUGUAUACUACUCUAUUAAGGUCAAGUUGACUUAGUUAUAAUUUUAAGUCACCCUUUUCUAGUGUACAGAACCCUAAACUUUGAAAAUGUCUGUAGUUGUGUAAUUGCCAGCAUAAACAAGACAUACAAUGUUGCUAUUACCCUAAAACCUUCCUGUACCUUUGCUGUCACCCCACCCCCAAGCCCUUAGCAACUACUGAUGUAUUUCUUCAACUCUAGUUUUACCUUUAAAAAUGUCAUUUAAAUGGAAUGUGCAGCAUGCACCUUUUAACUUUAGCAUCUCUGGGAUGGGCGUUAUGGUACAAGAGGUGCAGCCAUCACUUGGGACACCUGCAUCCUGUAGCAGGCUGUCUGGGAUUGAGUUCCACCUCUACUUCCAAUCCAGCUUCCUGCUUAGGUACCUGGGAGCCAGCAGAUGAUGUUCAAAGUUUUGGGUCCCUGCCACCUCUAUGGGAGACCCAGAUGGGGUUCCUGGCUUCAGUUUGGCCCAGUCCUGGUUGUUGUGGACAUUUGGGGAAUGAACCAGUGGAUAUAAGAUCUCUCUUUCUCUCUGUCCUUCUCUGUCCUCUGCCUCUCAAAUAAUUAAUAAAUUACUAAAACCUAAAAUAAAUUUAAUAUCUUUCACUUAGAAUAAAACUCUUGAGUUUCAACCUGGUAGUUGCAUGCAUCAAUAGUUUGUUCUUGUUUAUUGGUAAGCAGUACCCUGUUGCAUAGGUGUACCACACUUUGUUUAUUUGAUCACAAGUUACUGAAUGUUUUCCCUCCCUAAACUUCUCUUCAAGUAUCUGGAUAUUACUUAUGAAGAUUUGUGAAGUCUUUGUAUGGAUAUAUGCUUUCAUUUCUCCUGAGUAACUAACUACGUGUACUAGAACAGUUGGAUCUAUGUGAUAAGCUUACAUUUAACUAUUUAAGAAAUUGCUAAACUGAUCUUCUGUAUAUAAGGAGAAUUGAAAAUGAAUCUUGAUGUGAAUGGAAGGGGGGAGGGAGAGGGAAAGGGGAGGGUUGCGGGUGGGGGGGAAGUUAUGGGGGGGGGAGCCAUUGUAAUCCAUAAGCUGCACUUUGGAAAUUUAUAUUCAUUAAAUAAAAGUUAAAAAAAAAAAAAAGGAAUUGCUGGGGCUGGCACCUUGACUCACUGGUUAAUCCUCUGCCUGCAGCGCUGGCAUCCCAUAUGGGCGCUGGGUUCUAGUCCUGGUUGCUCCUCUUCCAGUCCAGCUCUCUGCUGUGGCCUGGGAGUGCAGUGGAGGAUGGCCCAAGUGCUUGGGCCCUGCACCCCACGGGAGACCAGGAGGAAGCACCUGGCUCCUGGCUUUGGAUCAGCAUAGUUCCGGCUGAGGCGGCCAUUUGGGGGGUGAACCAACGGAAAGAAGACCUUUCUCUCUGUCUCACUGUCUAAAUCUAGCUGUCAAGAAAGAAAGAAAGAAAGAAAGAAAGAAAGAAAGAAAGAAAGAAAGAAAGAAAGAAAGAAAGAAAGAAAGAAAUUGCCAUAUUGUUCUUCCAAUGUGGUGGUACCAUUUUAUUUUAUCACCAGCAGUGUGAGAGUUAUAGUUGUUUGCUAUCUGCAUUAACACAUGGAAUGGUCAGCCUUCAGUUCGAUCUAAGAGAUUUAUAGUAAUAUCUCAUUGCGGGUUUAAUUUGCAUUUCCUUACUUAACAAGUAAUGAGGUUGUUAGUAUGUUCUCAACAGUUACAACAUAUUUAACACUUUUCCAUAUACUUAUUUUUAAUCUUCUGUUUAUUUAAUGAUGUGUUUUUAAUUUUUUCAUUUUUAAUUGGGUUAUUUAUUUUUCUUUAUUAAAUUGUCAGUUAUUUAUAUAUUCUGGAUACCAGUACAGUAUCUGAUAUGUGUUUUAGAAAUAUUUCCUCCUAGUUUGUGGCUUUUCUUUUCAUUUUCUUAACAGUGUUGUUCAAAGAGAAGUUUCUAUAAUAAAUUCAAAAUUUCUUUUUAUCUUUUUUGAUAGCUUAUGUUUUUUGUGCCUAUAAAAAAUCUUUGCCUAACCUGUAUACUUACUUUUUGAUAAGGAAAAUAAUUCUUUAUAAAACCUGGAGGAAAGUUCUCUAAGGUUAUAAAAUUCUCCUAUAAUUUGUGGCUGUGCAAAUGUCUUCAAGGUAAGUCUUUCUUACGUAUAAAACACAUCUUUCUAACUGAAUCAUGAGUUCACAGUGCUCUUUUCCUAAUGAACUUUGCUCCAUGUUGAUAGGGCUGUCUUUACAUAAUUUUAUUAUUUUGCAUGUGAGUCUUCACUCGAGACAGGUAAUCAUGGAGUUAUUUUCCCUGAUCAAUAUCAUAAGCAUAUUUUCUAUUAUAAUAAGUUAUUUAGUGUUCCUUGAUAUAUAUAUAUAUUUUGUUAUUUAUCUCUACACUGGUCUAUAGUUCAGUGACUUGUUGAAAAGCAUAGCUACUUUUUUAUAUAUAUAUAUAUAUAUAAAAUCCAAGUCAACUCUAAAAUGGAGAGGCUAUGUGUAUUUCUUGAAAUGUUGAUUUCGUUAGGCAAAACAGUAGAGUUUCAGCGCUAGUAGUAAUUCUAAUUAUGUUGAUGAAUGUAUUCUUGCUUUUUUGUUUCAGGUUUUGAGUCUUUUCCUACAGCUUCAUUUUUGACAGAGGUGAUUUGACAAAGGCUUGGAAGAAUCAUUUGGAAUCCAUGAACUACUUGAGAUGAUUGACCCAUAUAUUGUUUCUAUCCAUGUGACCAAAGGUUUCUACAUCUUACCUCUGAUGAUUUAAGACAGCUGAUUAUAUCCUUCCUAAUUAUCCAAGAGUAAAAACACAGUGGACUCUUGUAUGCUCUUUUCAGUUAACACUUUGGAUCUUACAUGCUUCUUUGUGACAUAAUCUAACCUCCAACUAAAUUCAAACUUUGGACCUCCCUCCUCCCCCCAGAUCGCCUCCAAUAUACUUACUUAUUUAUUUACCUAUUUAUUUUUGAGAUUCAUUUUAAUUAUUUGAAAGGCAGAGUAAUGGGGGUGAGGGGACAGACAGAGAGAGGAGAUUUUCCAUCAGCUUGUGCAGUCUCCUAAGUGGCUGCAACAGUAGCCUGGAACUCCAUCCCGAUUUUCCACGUCACUCUCAGAGAUACAACCACUUAGGCCAUCUUCCUCUGCUUUCCAAGGUGCAUUAGCAGGGACCUGGAUUAGAAUCAGAAUAGUUGAGACUCAAACCAACUUCCUGAUAUGAGAUGCUGCCAUUGCAAAUGGUGGUUUAACCCUCUGUGCCACAAUGCCAGCCCCUCUCCUCCCAUUUCUGACAUUUUGGAUUUUCCAUUUAGAAAAUUGCUUCUUUGACACCUUACUUGAACUAUAUUUGAUGGAUAUUGGCGUGGUAUGCAUGCCUCUGCUUCUUUUUAUACAACCUUUUGAUAAGCUAUCAUCCUCUAGUUUAAGGUUUUAGGCAUCCGUUAGCACCGAACAUUUACUUAUCAGAUGGACUAGACCUAAUUCCCAAAGUGAGUGUUUGAACAAAGCUGAAGAUAGAUCAAUUCUUAUCUCUAAAAAGUCUUUCAUUUUUGUUAAUAUUUUCUAUCAGGUAAUUUGAGGAUAUCAAUGCUCAAGGAUAUAUUAUUGACUAUAACCUGUAUAUUUUUCAUGAAAAUGCUAAGUAGAUGGCUGCUUUUAUAAAAGCACAGGUUAUUUUACUUUGAACUCAAUCUCAAGAGCCAUAAAGGUGAGUCAUUUAAUUAGAUUAAAUGGUUUCACAAGAAUUUCCAAAUACUUUCAAGAAUAUUCUUCACUUUAAGAUGGUUAAUCAGAUACUCAGUAAUGGGUGCAUCUAACAUUUCACAAGUAGAGGUUGAAUUCUAUAUGCACGGAGUAAAGGUCAAUGGAUUACCAAGUUAACCCUUUGGAGUUCAAAAUAUUUAGAACUCUAUGCAGCUAGAAACUCACCAGGAGUUUCACACAUUCAUGUUUAUAAGCAGUUUCUACAGUAUCUAGUAUUUUCAUCAUAUAUAAAAGCCCAUAUUAAAAUGCUCCCUAAAUUGUCAAAUUGAUACUGACCAGAUAAGUUCCAGGCAUGUAUAUUGCUUUGAGGUCUGUUUGAGUAGGGUUCACUAUCUGAGACAGGCUAAAAUGGCACUGGAUGCCUGGAAGAAAGAAACCGUUCUAUCCACUGACUUGAACCUUGUGGUUUUAAUAGCCAGACGUUCUCCUUUUCCAUUGGAUGUUAUGGGCAAAGCUCUGGAGUUAAUACUUACCUAGUGGGGAAAGCGGUUGGGGAGAAAUGCAGAAUCUGAUCCUUGUUGUUCAGAACAGGGUCAUACUUCCACGGAAGGCUCCUGUGUGGUCAGUUCCAAAUGCUUCACAUGAUUUAUGUGCCAGUUUCACUUCCACACUUGAACUUUUCAGAGCCUGUAUUGCUGUAGUUCUUUACUUGAGGUGAGAAACGUGAACUGAAUUCUCUUUGAUCCUUGAGAACUUAAGUAAAGCUGACAUUAACUCAGUCCCAAAAAGUUCACAAAGAUUGAUGUGCUGCUGAAUUAUUUAAAAAGAUCGACAAUUCUUUGUUUUAUCCAUAGGCAUUGCUUGGCUAUUUAGCUAACUUUGUGCAGUUGUGAUGAGAAGAGAUUUUAUAUUAUCUCUAAAAUAAUCAGAUUGUCCCUCUUAUUUGAAAACCAGCUUGGAGGCUAGAUCAAAAUAUGUUCUCUGUGGGACCAGAAUCAACCUAAAAUAUAUUUCCACUCCUUUAUGCUGAUAUGUCUCUUUAAUAAUCUCUCCAAAUAAAUUUGUUUGAACUACACUUACUACUUGUCAAUGACAUUAGUUUUCUGGAAGGGAAAGUAGGAGUGAAAAGGAGAAUGAAAAAUAUUCAGAAAUCCUUAGGACAAACAACCUGCAUGACUUGAUUGGAUUUAAAGUCCCACUGCUGGGUUUUCUUGGCUGACCUUAUUUGCAUUGUUCCUAUCCUGGGUUAAGUUACAGUCAAACUGUAUUAUUUCCGCCUCUGAAAUGAAUGCUAAUGGAAAUCUGGGAUUCUCUGAUGCAAAUUCAGCUGUGUGUGCCCAGCUUCUCAGAGGUAAACUGUAGGUCUCUCUGAUUUACUAUUCCCAUGUCCAAGUCACAAUGCUCUCCUUCCUCAUGGCCAUGAGUCGGUGUAAAUUUUGAAACCUUGGUGGGAAAGAAAAUCAAUAUGCUUUCCUUCUGGGGAUAAUUUAGGUUAGGCUUUACUACUAGACUAAAAAAGGAUAGCUGUAAAAAAUGGGUGAGUGGAUGUUUACUUGGCAAAGAUGAAGGCUUGAGAAUCCUGAAGAGAGAGGCUGGGAGGAGUCUUCAGUGAGUCUGCAGCUGUGUUGAGCUUUGGCUUUGACAUAUGCUGCUAUUCCUAAGCUGCAAGGCCUAUUGGGAGCAGAGUUGCAUUGACUCGGAAGGUACUAUCCACCUGGUGUUGUGAUGUAGAGGGUUAAACUGCUGACUUGGAUGCUGGCAUCCCAUGUGGGAGACUCAGACUGAGUACCCAGCUCUUGGCCUUAGUCUGGCUCAGCCCCAGAUAUUGCAGACAUUUAGGAAGUGAACCAGUAGAUGGAAGAUCUCUGUCUCUAUCUGUUUCAGUAUUUCUGUUUUUCCAACAAAUAACAUAAAUAAAUAUAGAUUAACAGGACAUUGUGAGAAUAAUACAAAGAGGCUCAAUGUACCCUUCACCCAUUUUCCCUCAAUGAUAACAUCUUAUGUAAUUAUAGGACAAUAGAAAAGCCAGGAAAUUGACUGUGGUAACACCUGUGGAGCUUAUUUAGCAUUUACUGAUUUACAUGCAUACAUUUCUGUGUGUAUGUUUCUUUCACAUAUUCGUGGAUUUUGUCACCAUCACGGCAAUCAAUAUGCAAAAUUGCUACUGUUCCAGUUUAUAGUCACAUCUGUCACCACCCCUGCCUCUGGUUCCCUGCUCUCAUCUCUAACCCUUAGAAAAUACUAAUCUGUUUUCCACUUCUAUAAUUUUUUCAUUCUGAGAAUGUUAUAUUAAUGGAAUUAUAUAAUACGUGAUCUUUUCAAAUUGACCUUUUUUUCCACUCAUUAUAGUGCCCUUGGGAGUCAUCCAAGUUGUCUUGUAAUCGAUAAUCAGGAAAUUUCGACCUGUAAUGUGGGGGAUUUGAAAUCUGCCUUCUCAACCCACAGAUCCUUUAGUAGUAUGAAAUAAGAUUAUCUAUAUUAAAGCAUUACUUAAACUGUCAAGGAUUAUUUGAAUGGAAGGAUGUUUUUUAAUAAUAAUGUGUCCUUAUAAAGGAAUAAAUAACUACUUGUAUAUUCCAAAGCCUCAGGUUUACAACAUGAAGGGGCAAUUUGGUAUAAAAAAGUGGGUAAUCAAAUCCUGUCUAUUAAAAACUGUCAUUUUGAUAAUUUAUCUAACUUUGGUCACGCUUGGUUUUAAUUUUAAUCUAAAAAUAUUUUAUACCUAUUUUGAGGGGUGUUGUGGCAACAGCAGAUGACACAAACAUUGAGAAUACCCUAUACUAUAAUAUGUAAUAUGGAGAUAAUGUGAAUAAUAGAGAUUUCAGUCCAAAUGGACUAUGCAGACUGUGGGCCAUAAUAGAUGUUUAACAGUGGUAGUUCUCAUUGUUACAGCUGCUACUUUUUAAAAAGGACUUGUGGGUUGUUUCCUUUUGAAAAUACAGUGGUUACUCGGCUCUUUCAGGUUCAAUACCACACUUGAAGAUGUAAUUUCUUGCCAUGUGUAUUUUUUUUUUUUUUGACAGGCAGAGUGGACAGUGAGAGAGAGAGACAGAGAGAAAGGUCUUCCUUUUGCCAUUGGUUCACCCUCCAAUGGCCGCUGCGGGCUGGCGCGCUGUGGCCGGCGCACCGUGCUGAUCCGAUGGCAGGAGCCAGGUGUUUAUCCUGGUCUCCCAUGGGGUGCAGGGCCCAAGCACUUGGGCCAUCCUCCACUGCACUCCCAGGCCAUAGCAGAGAGCUGGCCUGGAAGGGGGGCAACCGGGACAGGAUCCGGCGCCCCGACCGGGACUAGAACCCGGUGUCCUGGCGCUGCAAGGCGGAGGAUCAGCCUAGUGAGCUGUGGCGCCGGCGACUUCCUAAGAUCUUAUUAGCAAGGAAUAACAGGGGAAAUGGGUUUACAAAAUCAGUCUUCUGAAGAUUAAGAUUUUAGUAUUUAAUGUAAAACUUAAAAAAAGUGGCAGGUGUGUGUUGUUGUAGGUUAAGCCUGAGAUGCUGGCAUCCUAUAUGGGCAUGGUUUUGAGUCCUGGCUGCUCCACUUCUGAUCCAGAUCCCUGCUGAUGUGCCUGGGAUGGCAGUGGAAGAUGGCCCAAGUGUAUGGGCCCCUGUUCACAUGUGGAUGAAGCCCCUGGAUCCUGGUUUUGGCCUGGGCCAGUCCUAGCUGUUCAGGCCAUUUGAAGAGUUAACCAGUGGAUGGAAGAUCUCUCACUCUCUCUGUAACUCUGCUUUUCAAAUAAAUAAAUAAAUUCUUAAAAAAAAAAAAAACUACAAAAAGUUAAAUUCCUAAGAAGCAAAAUUUAAAAAGUGACUCUUAAUGAACUUAACUUAGACUCAAUGUAGUUUUUUCAGUGAUUAAAAAUGCACAAAAAAGAUUUGAAUUUAAAAGUACUCUAUUCUUUAGAAAAUCAGACAUUGCUGUUAUAUAUAUAACAAUUUUAAUUGUACUAGAAUGUUUAGAUGUCUCACUCCUCAUGUAAUUUUUGUUGGCAAAUGAAAGUCUAAAAUAGUUGUUUAAAGAAACACAGUUGAAAUCUGAUUUAUCCUGCUCACCUAAAUAUGAGAAAGAUGUUUGAUUCUGCCUUUGAGAUGUUCCCAUGAUUUGGCGACUGUUGUGCUAAAUCUUAGUUCUCUGAGCCAAAGUGAUGAGUUAUUCCUUUGGAAGUUCCAUAUGGAAUUAUAAUAAAAGAGGUAGUUCCAGUAAAGAGUACUCCUGUUGAAGUGGGACUGAUGACGCAAGUAGGAUCAAGUGUAUAGAAGGAAAAGGCCAACAAAGAACAGAAUUUGAGAGAAAAUGAUAACGUUUCAUUGCAACUUGUUAAGUGCUUACUUUGUGCUAGGCAUUCUUCAUAAUUGUUAAUCGAUAAACUUCUGUUAAAGUCCAGACAGCAAAUAUGUCAGGUUGUGUGGGCUAUCUAGUCUGUUGUGAUUAUCACACAAAAACAGUCAAGUCAUAGAAAUCAUGUAAAUGAACCUGGGUUCAAAUAAUAGGCAGCUGGCUGGAUUCAGUUGAAGACUAUACCUUAAGAAUCCCUAUUUUAGGGAUACAGAGGUGAUUAAAACAGACUUGAUUCUUACAUGGAGCUUCCAUUCCAGGGGUAGUGAAGCAAACCAGAGAGAGGAAGGAAAGGAGAAAGGAGGAAGGAAGAACAAAAAAGAAAGAAAGAAAAUAGGACAUAAGUUUUCUGCAGGGAAUUGAAACAGAUUGUUAUGAAGGAUGAUUGCUUUGACGUGAUUCAGAAAGUAGCAUUUAGGUUGAGAUCUCAAUGACAGGAAAGCAUCCGUUUGGUGCUGAUCUAGGGGAAGAAUGUUCUGCUAAUGAAGAUUUUCCAAGUUGAGAUGACCUUGAUAUAUUCCAGGAAAAAAAUAUGUGUGUGUGUGUGUGUGUGUGUGUAUAGUGCUACAUUGGAGAGAGAGAGAAAGAGAAUUAUUUCUUAUACAAACUGUUCCAAAGAAUCUAUAUGCAGUGUGAUUUUCAGCUUGAACUUUUUAAAACAGUGCAUAACUAGAAACAUUUCCAGUGCCUACAUGGGAAGGGAUUUAUCCAGUAACAUAGAACUGAUACUUAUGAAGCCAUCUGUAAAUAUUUGUGGAACCAAGCGACCUAAAUUUCUAGCAAAAAGUAAAUGACUGAUUUGAUUAUAUCAAUUUGAUGCCCUUCUCUAGAGGUAUUAAAUCUAUCCUAUUAGUUUGGAAUGUUUUUAUUUGUAAUAGCAGAAAUUUUGUUUAUAAUUAUGUUUUCUUUUUUUUAAAAUUUUAUUUAAGGUUUAUAAAUUUCAUCUAUUUUAUAUAUACAGAUUUAGUAACAAAGUGAUAUUCCCACCCUACACUCCCUCCCACCCACGCUUUUUUUAAAAAAAGAUUUAUUUAUUGGCUGGCGCCAUGGCUCACUUGACUAAUCUUCCGCCUGCGGUGCCGGCACCCCGUGUUCUAGUCCCUGUUGGGGUGCUGGGUUCUGUCCCGAUUGCUCCUCUUCCAGUCCAGCUCUCUGCCGUGGCCCAGGAAGGCAGUGGAGGAUGGCCCAAGUGCUUGAGCCCUGCACCCACAUGGGAGACCAGGAGGAAGCACCUGGCUCCUGGCUUUGGAUCAGCACAGUGCCAGUCGUAGCAGCCAUUUAGGGGGUGAACCAAAGGAAGGAAGACCUUUCUCUCUCUGUCUCUCUCUCACUGACUA